UGAGUUUGUUUAUAUUUCAUUCUGUUUAUAUUUUAUUCUGUUUUAUUGAUUUUAUAUCAAUCCAAAGUCUAUAAAUAAAGAGCAAAAGGCUCCAAACAAGGUACGUUUUGCAUUCUCUCACACUCAUACUUUCACACCUAACUGAGUUCAACCCUCUCUCCGUUCUAAGCAUCAACUUGCUGAGGAUCGAGGGUCUUCCUACAUCGACGUCUAACUUGAUCGUCGGAGUGCCUUUACAGGUACCCCCCCUCCC
Molecule: long non-coding RNA, 253 nt
Filed under: Vigna radiata
Lineage: Eukaryota; Viridiplantae; Streptophyta; Magnoliopsida; Fabales; Fabaceae
Description: long non-coding RNA (VRAD_LNC000229)
Source: RNAcentral